This is a small nucleolar RNA of Lepus europaeus (European hare), 109 nucleotides long. RefSeq annotates it as small nucleolar RNA SNORA38. The record is from RefSeq and is a predicted model, not a curated record. The transcript has a single exon. Lineage: Eukaryota; Metazoa; Chordata; Mammalia; Lagomorpha; Leporidae.
GGGCAUGUCUGUGCUUUCCUGUCUUUGAACGUGUAAGAAAUGGAGGGAAAGAAAUGUGGACUUGGGCCAGCUUGUUCCUCCCAGGCUCAAGAUCAACCAUCCCACAUAG